RNAcentral lists this transfer RNA (59 nucleotides) under Versteria mustelae. RNAcentral describes it as "tRNA-Cys". The record is from RNAcentral. Lineage: Eukaryota; Metazoa; Platyhelminthes; Cestoda; Cyclophyllidea; Taeniidae.
GAGUAUGAUAUUAAUAGCUUUGCAAAAGCUAGGUAGGAUUUUGUUUUUUCCCGUACUUU